This 358-nucleotide long non-coding RNA is filed under the name Sinocyclocheilus grahami. Its description in RNAcentral is "lncRNA (ENSSGRG00000052464.1)". Lineage: Eukaryota; Metazoa; Chordata; Actinopteri; Cypriniformes; Cyprinidae. The record is from RNAcentral.
AUGGAGAAUUGGAUUUGGACUCAGUUCACGUGUUGCUACGUAACUUCCAGCAAGAGCUCAGGGACACACAGAGAGAGCGGGAUGAGGCCCAAGCACAGGUGCACAGUCUCAGCAAGCAGGUAGAAAGCCUGCAAGCCAGUCAGGAAAGAGGCAACACACGUAUACAGAUGCUGAAACAAUCUAUCAGAGAGCUGGAGGAGGGAAAGCGUGAGCUGGCUAAGCAUUUAGAGGGGACACAAGCAUCACUCGCCUUACGGGAUGAGGUGGUUCAGCAUGGGGAAUUACAGAAUAGGAUUAUGAGUGAAGAGUUGGCCAAAAUGAAGAACAGCCAACAUAUAACUGAGGCAGAAGCCAAAGC